CAGGGAGACAACAAAAUGUUAAAUAUUAAUUUUGUCACCUUAGGUCGAUCGGUAUCUCACAUCCUUGAUUUAUUAAGGAUUUCAUUUUCUAAGUUUUUUCUAGGUCACACCCAUUACUCUUCCUGGGCCAUUAGCUCAGGUGGUUAGAGCGCACCCCUGAUAAGGGUGAGGUCCCUGGUUCAAGUCCAGGAUGGCCCAUAUCUCUAUGUUGGGGGUAUAGCUCAGUUGGUAGAGCGCCUGCUUUGCAAGCAGGAUGUCAGCGGUUCGAGUCCGCUUACCUCCACUGAUCACCGCCUCUUCCAUGAUUUAUAGAAGGGAAUUGUAUUGAGUUGUGAUCAAAUUCUGAACGAAUCUAGCUUCCUAAUUAAUCUUAUUAAGAUGCUGGACUCAUUGAAUUAAUUUUCAUUGUUUUCAGAGAACCUUGACAACUGCAUAGAUUAUUUUUAAAGACAAUAAGCAUCUUUAAUGAUGCAGAUUUAUUAUUUUUGCGAUUGCAUUAAUAACAAUUCUAUUAAGCUGAUGCUUCAAUUUUGAAGUUAUU
This 541-nucleotide transfer RNA is filed under the name uncultured cyanobacterium. RNAcentral's name for it is "partial miscellaneous RNA". The stretch from base 211 to 283 matches the Rfam family "tRNA". The record is from RNAcentral. Lineage: Bacteria; Bacillati; Cyanobacteriota.